This 253-nucleotide ribosomal RNA is filed under the name uncultured bacterium. RNAcentral describes it as "partial 16S ribosomal RNA". It matches the Rfam family "Bacterial small subunit ribosomal RNA", at positions 524 to 776 of the family's 1533-position model. The record is from RNAcentral.
GACGAACCGUACGAACGUUAUUCGGAAUCACUGGGCUUAAAGGGUGCGUAGGCGGCGAUGAAAGUUGGGUGUGAAAUCCCUCGGCUCAACCGAGGAACUGCGCCCAAAACUACAUUGCUUGAGGGAGAUAGAGGUGAGCGGAACUUAGGGUGGAGCGGUGAAAUGCGUUGAUAUCCUAAGGAACGCCAGGGGCGAAAGCGGCUCACUGGAUCUCUUCUGACGCUGAGGCACGAAAGCUAGGGUAGCGAACGGG